RNAcentral lists this ribosomal RNA (344 nucleotides) under uncultured bacterium. Its description in RNAcentral is "bacterial SSU rRNA". It matches the Rfam family "Bacterial small subunit ribosomal RNA", at positions 8 to 334 of the family's 1533-position model. The record is from RNAcentral.
AGGGUUUGAUUCUGGCUCAGGAUGAACGCUGGCGGCGUGCCUAACACAUGCAAGUCGAGCGAAGCGGUUUUAAGGAAGUUUUCGGAUGGAAUUAAGACUGACUGAGCGGCGGACGGGUGAGUAACGCGUGGGUAACCUGCCUCAUACAGGGGGAUAACAGUUAGAAAUGGCUGCUAAUACCGCAUAAGCACACAGCUUCGCAUGGAGCAGUGUGAAAAACUCCGGUGGUAUGAGAUGGACCCGCGUCUGAUUAGCUAGUUGGUAAGGUAACGGCUUACCAAGGCGACGAUCAGUAGCCGACCUGAGAGGGUGACCGGCCACAUUGGGACUGAGACACGGCCCAA